This 1425-nucleotide small RNA is filed under the name Lacticaseibacillus paracasei. RNAcentral describes it as "Lactobacillus paracasei CRISPR". Lineage: Bacteria; Bacillati; Bacillota; Bacilli; Lactobacillales; Lactobacillaceae. The record is from RNAcentral.
GGUCUCAGGUAGAUGUCGAAUCAAUCAGUUCAAGAGCUGUUUUCUCCAGAACAACAGCUUAGACGGCGUCUCAGGUAGAUGUCGAAUCAAUCAGUUCAAGAGCUGACAUUGUGGGUAUGCAACAAAUCACCCCGUCUCAGGUAGAUGUCGAAUCAAUCAGUUCAAGAGCGAAACUUGACAAAAACAAUCUUAUCUACUGGUCUCAGGUAGAUGUCGAAUCAAUCAGUUCAAGAGCGAAUAUCAUAAUGCGGACGACCCAUUACCAGUCUCAGGUAGAUGUCGAAUCAAUCAGUUCAAGAGCAAAAGCGUGCAAUAUGCACCGGCUCACUGUCUCAGGUAGAUGUCGAAUCGAAUCAGUUCAAGAGCGGAUACGUGAUGAACGCACUACAGUUGACCGGUCUCAGGUAGAUGUCGAAUCAAUCAGUUCAAGAGCGAUUCGCGGACACGAUUGUAAACGAAGAAACCGUCUCAGGUAGAUGUCGAAUCAAUCAGUUCAAGAGCCCAAAUUGGUUAGCACCGCUUAAAGACGAAGUCUCAGGUAGAUGUCGAAUCAAUCAGUUCAAGAGCUAUCAGAGGCUUAUCCAUUAAACAACUGGCGUCUCAGGUAGAUGUCGAAUCAAUCAGUUCAAGAGCAAACUGCCUUCCGUUGCGAUCAACUCGCGCGUCUCAGGUAGAUGUCGAAUCAAUCAGUUCAAGAGCAAGCGUUCGCUUGCGCUGGUGUUGGUCUCGGUCUCAGGUAGAUGUCGAAUCAAUCAGUUCAAGAGCUCGUAGCGGCUAACACGCUUAUGGCUGACAGUCUCAGGUAGAUGUCGAAUCAAUCAGUUCAAGAGCAAAAUAUUUCUAGAAUUAGCAACUUUAUGGGUCUCAGGUAGAUGUCGAAUCAAUCAGUUCAAGAGCGAUCGUUGAAGAAAGGCUGAUCAAUAUGUUGUCUCAGGUAGAUGUCGAAUCAAUCAGUUCAAGAGCCGCAAAAAAUGUUUUGACAAGAACACAUCGGUCUCAGGUAGAUGUCGAAUCAAUCAGUUCAAGAGCGGCCAAUAUCAUCAGUCGGGAGAUUGUCGCGUCUCAGGUAGAUGUCGAAUCAAUCAGUUCAAGAGCACUCGUCAAUAUCCUUCUGCAUGAUCAAGUGUCUCAGGUAGAUGUCGAAUCAAUCAGUUCAAGAGCGCAAUCGCGAUACUUUCACCGAUUGCAACAGUCUCAGGUAGAUGUCGAAUCAAUCAGUUCAAGAGCAACAAAAUAAUAGGAGGUUUUUACCAUGGAGUCUCAGGUAGAUGUCGAAUCAAUCAGUUCAAGAGCAUGACUUUAACAAUCAAAUCCCAAGUUGUUGUCUCAGGUAGAUGUCGAAUCAAUCAGUUCAAGAGCUAUUAUCCUAACACAUCCAUCGAGAAGUUAGUCUCAGGUAGAUGUCGAAUCAAUCAGUUCAAGAGC